AUUCAGAUGAUGAGUCUCAAAUAAGACGAUACGCGUGUCAAACUGGAU
RNAcentral lists this non-coding RNA (48 nucleotides) under Schistosoma curassoni. Lineage: Eukaryota; Metazoa; Platyhelminthes; Trematoda; Strigeidida; Schistosomatidae. The record is from RNAcentral.